AGUGAACGCUGGCGGUAGGCCUAACACAUGCAAGUCGAACGGCAGCACAGUAAUAGCUUGCUCUUACGGGUGGCGAGUGGCGGACGGGUGCGGAAUACCUCGGAAUCUACUUUUUCGUGGGGGAUAACGUAGGGAAACUUACGCUAAUACCGCAUACGACCUACGGGUGAAAGCAGGGAAUCUUCGGACCUUGCGCGAUUGAAUGAGCCGAUGUCGGAUUAGCUAGUUGGCGGGGUAAAGGCCCACCAAGGCGACGAUCCGUAGCUGGUCUGAGAGGAUGAUCAGCCACACUGGAACUGAGACACGGUCCAGACUCCUACGGGAGGCAGCAGUGGGGAAUAUUGGACAAUGGGCGCAAGCCUGAUCCAGCCAUACCGCGUGGGUGAAGAAGGCCUUCGGGUUGUAAAGCCCUUUUGUUGGGAAAGAAAAGCAGCAGGUUAAUACCCCGCUGUUCUGACGGUACCAAAAGAAUAAGCACCGGCUAACUUCGUG
Molecule: ribosomal RNA, 492 nt
Filed under: uncultured bacterium
Lineage: Bacteria
Description: partial 16S ribosomal RNA
Rfam family: Bacterial small subunit ribosomal RNA
Source: RNAcentral